This 415-nucleotide long non-coding RNA is filed under the name Rhinopithecus bieti (black snub-nosed monkey). RNAcentral describes it as "lncRNA (ENSRBIG00000045580.1)". The record is from RNAcentral. Lineage: Eukaryota; Metazoa; Chordata; Mammalia; Primates; Cercopithecidae.
UGAUGGGCUAUUCCUGUCCCAGGAGCACAUUCUGCCCCCAACCAUUUAUAAAGUCUAUUAAACUAGAACUCAAGAGGGAAGAGUAGACUCCUGUGCUCCAGAACAUGGGCAUCCCCAGAAAGCCAAGCUGAAGUCUAAAAGAUGCUCCCCACUCAUCAGUCUCCCUGUUCUUUUUGCCUAUGUGGCAGUUCUACAGAGUCGGCCAAAUAGUGAAAAUGGAAAGAGAAAGGAAGGGAGAGAGAAAAAGGAUGGAGAGAGGAAACCAGUGAGAGAGAGAGAGAAAGAGCUCAUUUCUAACAAAUGUCUAAGACUAUUCAAAAACAGUAAGGAUAGAUUAUAUAUUUUGAUGGUGGUUUUAGAAAUAAUGAGUAAUGAUUUCUCAGUGUUUAUGAUGUGUAUUAUUUGAUAGAAGACA